AAGGAUCAUUACAGUUAGUUUAUGUUCUCUCUGCCUGCGCUUAAUUGCGCGGCGAAGAACAGACAACCUUACACACUGUGUUUUUGUUUUUUUGAAACAUUGCUUUGGCUUGGCUUCAUUGUCGGGCCAGAGACCACACCAAACUUCAAAUUUUUUUGAAUUGUUUUUUUAAAUACGUUUGUCAAUUUUGUUUGAUUAAUUUCAAAAUAAUCUUCAAAACUUUCAACAACGGAUCUCUUGGUUCUCGCAUCGAUGAAGAACGCAGCGAAAUGCGAUAAGUAAUAUGAAUUGCAGAUUUUCGUGAAUCAUCGAAUCUUUGAACGCACAUUGCGCCCUCUGGUAUUCCGGAGGGCAUGCCUGUUUGAGCGUCAUUUCUCUCUCAAACCGCAAGGUUUGGUAUUGAGUGAUACUCUUAGUCGGACUAGGCGUUUGCUUGAAAUGUAACGGCAGGAGUGUACUAGAUAGUACGAACUGGUUAUUCAAUGUAUUAGGUUUAUCCAACUCGUUGAAACGCCGGGGCAGUAAAUUUCUGGUAAUUUGGCUCGGCCUUAUAACAACAAACAUAAGUUUGACCUCAAAUCAGGUAGGAUUACCCGCUGAACUUAAGCAUAUCAAUAAGCGGAGGAAAAGAAACCAACAGGGAUUGCCUUAGUAGCGGCGAGUGAAGCGGCAAUAGCUCAAAUUUGAAAUCUGGCGUCUUCGGCGUCCGAGUUGUAAUUUGAAGAAGGUAUCUUUGGUUUUGGCUCUUGUCUAUGUUCCUUGGAACAGGACGUCACAGAGGGUGAGAAUCCCGUGCGAUGAGAUGCCCAAUUCCAUGUAAAGUUCCUUCGACGAGUCGAGUUGUUUGGGAAUGCAGCUCUAAGUGGGUGGUAAAUUCCAUCUAAAGCUAAAUAUUGGCGAGAGACCGAUAGCGAACAAGUACUGUGAAGGAAAGAUGAAAAGAACUUUGAAAAGAGAGUGAAAAAGUACGUGAAAUUGUUGAAAGGGAAGGGCUUGAGAUCAGACUUGGAAUUUUCCAGCAAUGGAGCUUUCCGGGCCAGCAUCAGUUUGGAUGGCAGGAUAAUUGCGUAGGAAAGUAGCCCCACCUCGGUGGUGUAUUAUAGCCUGCGUCGAUACUGCCUGUCUAGACUGAGGACUGCGUCUUUGACUAGGAUGCU
This 1157-nucleotide small RNA is filed under the name [Candida] sp. VN11-F0553. RNAcentral describes it as "eukaryotic LSU rRNA". The stretch from base 570 to 1157 matches the Rfam family "Eukaryotic large subunit ribosomal RNA", at positions 1 to 627 of the family's 3401-position model. The record is from RNAcentral. Lineage: Eukaryota; Fungi; Ascomycota; Pichiomycetes; Serinales; Debaryomycetaceae.